RNAcentral lists this transfer RNA (66 nucleotides) under uncultured Dialister sp. It matches the Rfam family "tRNA". From Rfam's summary of the family: Transfer RNA (tRNA) molecules are approximately 80 nucleotides in length. Their secondary structure includes four short double-helical elements and three loops (D, anti-codon, and T loops). The record is from RNAcentral. Lineage: Bacteria; Bacillati; Bacillota; Negativicutes; Veillonellales; Veillonellaceae.
GGCGUAGCUCAGUUGGUAGAGCAACUGAUUUGUAAUCAGUAGGUCGUAGGUUCAAGUCCUAUUGCC